RNAcentral lists this ribosomal RNA (253 nucleotides) under uncultured bacterium. RNAcentral's name for it is "partial 16S ribosomal RNA". It matches the Rfam family "Bacterial small subunit ribosomal RNA", at positions 524 to 776 of the family's 1533-position model. The record is from RNAcentral.
UACGGAGGAGGCAAGCGUUAUCCGGAAUUAUUGGGCGUAAAGCGUCCGCAGGUGGCACUUCAGGUCUGUCGUCAAAGACUGGGGCUUAACCCUGGAAAGGCGGUGGAAAUUGAAGCGCUAGAGUGCGGUAGGGGUAGAGGGAAUUCCCGGUGUAGCGGUGAAAUGCGUAGAGAUCGGGAAGAACAUCGGUGGCGAAAGCGCUCUACUGGACCGCAACUGACACUCAGGGACGAAAGCUAGGGGAGCGAAUGGG